RNAcentral lists this long non-coding RNA (217 nucleotides) under Elaeis guineensis (African oil palm). RNAcentral describes it as "long non-coding RNA (EGUI_LNC053002)". The record is from RNAcentral. Lineage: Eukaryota; Viridiplantae; Streptophyta; Magnoliopsida; Arecales; Arecaceae.
UGUCCUCUAAGAUAUAUUAACUAAAUCUUUUAAAUUAUUAAGUUCAUAAAAUGAGCUAGUUAUGGGGAUAACUAGAUCAUAGCCUUCCAUUAAGAUGCAUGAUAAUGAGUCUAAUAUCCCAAAUAGGCAUUGGAGGUGCCACACACCUGGUGUCUAUUACGUAUUGAAAUUAUCAUUCAUUAUAUAACCAUCUUGUUGUACCUUCAGAUCAAUACUC